Molecule: unclassified non-coding RNA, 374 nt
Filed under: soil metagenome
Description: partial contains internal transcribed spacer 2 and large subunit ribosomal RNA
Rfam family: 5.8S ribosomal RNA (bases 1-120)
Source: RNAcentral
GAUGAAGAACGUAGUGAAAUGCGAUAAUUAAUGUGAAUUGCAGAAUUCCGUGAAUCAUCGAGUCUUUGAACGCACAUUGCGCCUCAUGGCAUUCCGUGAGGCAUGCCCAUCUCAGCGUUAGAAAAUAUUCUCAAAUUUUAGUUUUGUGCUAAAAUUUGGAUCAUGUCAAGGAAGCUAUUACUAUUAUUGUGAUCGCUCUUUGGAAAUUGGUAGGUCUUUGAGUUGCUACUCAUAGAACGUGAUGAAUCUUUCUUCGUUCUAUUGUAAUUCACUCUGGUAGUCCUAAAACUUGUAUGCCUGUGGCAUAUCUUGUAAUUUGACCUGAGAUUGGGUAGGGAUACCCGCUGAACUUAAGCAUAUCAAUAAGCGGACGA